GUUUUAAAAACACAAAUCACUAUAAUGCAAGUAUAAACGGUUAAUAAAGCAAUUCCUUCAUACGAAAUACAAGUCUUUAAGGAAAAAUAAAGUCUCUUACCAGAGUUCCAGCACUUGGCAAAUGAAGAAAGACUUGAUUGAAGCUGUAAUUGAAUUGCAGGAGAUAAAUCAAAGCUGAAGCAGCAUUGCAGGGGUUAAUCAUGACUCAAGGCACCUUGGACAGUUCCAUCCAAUCUAAGAUUAGGGCAACCCUGGAGUACACAGCAUUGUUCUCGGUGGAAGUGGUGGCGGGACAUGACGCUUUGCGACACAUGGCUUGAGUCAAUUACCAUCUUUUCAUGCUCCUUCGCUGUGGCGGAUGUUGGAUGGGAGGGGGACACAUUGUGGAGUAGAAAAUUUAUUGCUGUUUAUAGGAGGUUAGGUUUCAGUUCUACAGGCCCGCUAGUUUUCUCCUUUACUAGACAUGUUUUUCGCUCAUGGAUUAUGGUUCUACUGCCAAGUCUGGGUACUAGCCCCUUGACUCCAACCAGCACCUUGUUGUAACAGAUCUCCUGGCACCCUUACUCGGUACCUCCGUUAACAGAUGCUUCCUAGCUGACAACAAUGACUAUAAGCACCGCACCGGACACCACAACAACCGCAGACUCCACAACCGCCGUAGCUUAACUGGAAUCUCGCCAUCUUCCUUCCACCCUGGAUCAACCACUGACCUCUAGAACCAUGUGGGGGAGACCUCUCCUCCAGGAGAGCGUAACAGGACCAGCUCUUAAAAGGGCAAAGUGAUUAGAACCCAGGGGAGUAUACAGAGUAGAGCAAUCCCCAAUGUGGUUAUAGCAGUUCCCUACAACACUAGACGAGGCUGCAAGUUGAGAGUAAGAAUGUCUGACAGUUUAAUGGAACCACUGGUCUUUUAUACAAGUUUUACAGCAAAGGGGACGCCCAGGUGGACCUAGUUGGGCACUGAAUACAAAACAUACAAGCCAAUAAAAACAGAUGUUUACAUUCAGACACUCCCAUACAGUGUACACAGUUUCUCCCCUCUGCCUGUGAUACAAUUAACGAAGACAAUGGGCUAACUCAAUUAACUCUAAGCAGAAAAAAAACAUACAUGUUUACUAUGCCUGGAAAACGUUCCAAAACACCACAUAUCCCCAUAAAUAUCACAUCCCCUGAUAGCCCCUAUCUGGGUGACAACAAAUCCAAAAAUCACCCAGAUCAGAGCAGGGGUUCAGAAAUUCCUUGGAAGUCUUUUUGACCCACUGUGCACAUGGUCCCAUGCCCAAAACUGUUCCAGAGAAUUACGGCUAACAGUCGGUCUCUCUGUCUGGAGUACAAAGUACAUACUUCACAUGAACAGAGCAAAGUAUAUUGCAGGGCCUAUAGUCCUGAGGCAAGAGGCUGGCCAGUAGGCCCCUCCAAGAACCAGUGGCGAAGUUGCUUUUGUCACACUUGUCUUUUACUAGAUGCAAAGAGGGCUUUAAGCAUUGCGGGAUAGGGUGUCUUUUGCCUGGGAGGGGCACAUGUCGGGAGAGAGAUGUGACAUGAC
Pelobates cultripes (western spadefoot toad) is the source of this 1546-nucleotide non-coding RNA. Lineage: Eukaryota; Metazoa; Chordata; Amphibia; Anura; Pelobatidae. The record is from the annotation of a GenBank genome assembly.